This 937-nucleotide long non-coding RNA is filed under the name Parus major (Great Tit). RNAcentral's name for it is "lncRNA (ENSPMJG00000001911.1)". Lineage: Eukaryota; Metazoa; Chordata; Aves; Passeriformes; Paridae. The record is from RNAcentral.
GGGUCCCAGGGGGGUCCCCAGGCCGGGGGUCCGCUCUCACCGCGCAGCAGAGCCCUCACGAAGCGCCCGGCUCCCGGCACCGCCAGCCACCAACUCCCGGCAUCGCGCACGGUCAGGAGCCCCGCGGCCACCAGAGCCCUGCUGGGGCCACCAGAACCCGGCUGGGGCCACCAGAGCCCUGCCGGGGCCACCAAAACCCGGCUGUGGCCACCAAAACCCGGCUGUGGCCACCAAAACCCGGCUGUGGCCACCAAAACCCGGCUGGGGCCACCAAAACCCGGCUGGGGCCACCAAAACCCUGCUGUGGCCACCAAAACCCAGCCAUGGCCACCAGAACCCGGCUGUGGCCACCAGAACCCGGCUGGGGCCACCAAAACCCGGCUGUGGCCACCAGAGCCCUGCUGGGGCCACCAAAACCCUGCUGGGGCCACCAAAACACGGCUGUGGCCACCAAAGCCUGGCUGUGGCCAUCAGAACCUGGCUGUGGCUACCAGAACCCGGCUGUGGCCACCAGAACCCGGCUGUGGCCACCAGAACCCCCCAGAGCCACCCUGGGGGUCCCAAACCCCACCCUGGGCUGUCCCCAGGUCCCCCCAGGUGUCCCCAUGACCCCCAGGUGUCCCCAGGUGUGUUCCAGGUGUGUUUUUGGUGUCCCCAGGUGUCCCCCCAUGACCCCCAGCUGUCCCCAAAUGUCCCCAGGUGUCCCCAGGUGAGGUUUUGGUGUCCCCAGGUGUGUCCCAGGUGUCCCCAUGUCCCCCCAGGUGUCCCCAGGUGUCCCCAGGUGAGGUUUGGGGUGUCCCCAGGUGUGUCCCCAGGUGUGUCCCAGGUGUCCCCAGGUGUGUCCCCAGGUGUCCCAGGUGUCCCCAGGUCCCCGCAGGUGUCCCCAGGUGUCCCCAGGUGUCCCCAGCUGUCCCCAGGUGUCCCCAGGGGUCCCCAG